Molecule: long non-coding RNA, 746 nt
Organism: Lathyrus oleraceus (garden pea)
Lineage: Eukaryota; Viridiplantae; Streptophyta; Magnoliopsida; Fabales; Fabaceae
Exons: 2
Source: RefSeq, a predicted model, not a curated record
CUGAGUUUUAAUCGAAAUACAAUAUUUUCUAUUUUCCCCUAUGUCCUCUAAUCCUCAUUACUUUGUUUAUAGAGAUGGUGAUUGAAUUGUUCACUUCCAUCUGAGUUUUGUUAUAGUGUAGACAUGUGUGCUUAGUCUUAUGACUUUGGAUAUUCCCUAACUUUUGCAUGAACCGCUUCUAAGAAUUUCAAUUUACCGGGAGAUUUACCCUUUUUUGCUUAAGCGGCCUUUCAGGUUUUCAACUUAUCGGGCUUAACUUUUUUUGUUUAUCCCUAAUUUUUACCUGAGUUGCCCUAGCGAAUUUUCAACUCAUCAGGGUGCUCAUUUUUAGCCUUAGUCGCCCUUUCAGGUUUUAAACUUAGUGAAUUUUUAUUAUCCAUCUCUUUUUCUUAGGCAUAAUACUUUCUGAAUGCAUCAAAGUUGACGGGAUGUGUCAACUCUUCUCCAUCCAUGUUCGUGAGAACUAAAAUUUAAAGGGAGACAGAUGAUAAAGCCACAACGAUAAGCCUGGAAAACAAAAGGAAAAUGAAGGAUGGAGCCUCGCCGGAUCCUAAAACUCCGCCGAGAACUCCGGAAAAGCCAACCUCAGGGUGAAUGCAAAAAGAUCGUGACUACCAAGUCAAACCUCAUUUUUCUUCCUUUUUAAUAUAAUUAUUGUAUGGAAUGUAAUGGCAUGACUAUGCUAGUUGUAGCUUGUGUGUUGGAUGUUCAAAAUAAUGUAAUACAAGCAACUUCUUUUUUAAUUU